RNAcentral lists this ribosomal RNA (271 nucleotides) under uncultured bacterium. RNAcentral describes it as "partial 16S ribosomal RNA". It matches the Rfam family "Bacterial small subunit ribosomal RNA", at positions 83 to 353 of the family's 1533-position model. The record is from RNAcentral.
GUUUGAUGGCGACCGGCGCACGGGUGAGUAACACGUAUCCAACCUGCCGAUAACUCGGGGAUAGCCUUUCGAAAGAAAGAUUAAUACCCGAUGGCAUAAUAGAACCGCAUGGUUUGAUUAUUAAAGAAUUUCGGUUAUCGAUGGGGAUGCGUUCCAUUAGGCAGUUGGUGGGGUAACGGCCCACCAAACCUUCGAUGGAUAGGGGUUCUGAGAGGAAGGUCCCCCACAUUGGAACUGAGACACGGUCCAAACUCCUACGGGAGGCAGCAUG